ACACGUAAGGGGCAAGCGUUAUCCGGAAUCAUUGGGCGUAAAGAGUCCGUAGGUGGUAUGUUAAGUUGGAUGUUAAAUUUUUGAGCUCAACUCAAAAAAUGUGUCCAAAACUGGCAAACUGGAGACAGGUAGAGGCAAGUGGAAUUCUGCAUGUAGGGGUAAUAUCCGUAGAUAUGCAGAGGAACACCAAAAGCGAAGGCAGCUUGCUGGACCUGUUCUGACACUAAAGGACGAAAGCGUGGGGAGCAAACGGGAUUAGAUACCCGAGUAGUCC
Molecule: ribosomal RNA, 274 nt
Filed under: uncultured bacterium
Lineage: Bacteria
Description: partial 16S ribosomal RNA
Rfam family: Bacterial small subunit ribosomal RNA
Source: RNAcentral